RNAcentral lists this transfer RNA (73 nucleotides) under Stegodyphus dumicola. RNAcentral describes it as "tRNA-Ala". It matches the Rfam family "tRNA". From Rfam's summary of the family: Transfer RNA (tRNA) molecules are approximately 80 nucleotides in length. Lineage: Eukaryota; Metazoa; Arthropoda; Arachnida; Araneae; Eresidae. The record is from RNAcentral.
GCCUUCGUAGUGUAGUGGUCAGCACGCUCGGCUCGCAUUCGAGAGUUCCGUGGUUCGAUUCCCGGCGAAGGCA